Molecule: long non-coding RNA, 187 nt
Organism: Neltuma alba
Lineage: Eukaryota; Viridiplantae; Streptophyta; Magnoliopsida; Fabales; Fabaceae
Exons: 2
Source: RefSeq, a predicted model, not a curated record
AUCGAAUUUGAGAGAGCUUUGAGAAAUCCAUUGACGCGUUGCUCAAAGUCCGCGAUCUCUCCAGACGCGCAGAAAUGAGUGCAAUUUCCCGAAGCAGAUCGCUCAAUUUCUUCAUAUUUUUCCUUUCGUGCUCCUUACAAUUCAUCCUAGGCGUUUCUGAUGAUUCAUCUGGUGCCAAUGAUAAGCC